This 253-nucleotide ribosomal RNA is filed under the name uncultured bacterium. Its description in RNAcentral is "partial 16S ribosomal RNA". It matches the Rfam family "Bacterial small subunit ribosomal RNA", at positions 524 to 776 of the family's 1533-position model. The record is from RNAcentral.
UACGGGGGGAGCAAGCGUUGUUCGGAUUUACUGGGCUUAAAGAGUUCGUAGGCGGCGCGGAAAGUAGGGUGUGAAAGCCCUCGGCUCAACCGAGGAAUUGCGCUCUAAACUGCCGCGCUCGAGGAACCUAGAGGUGAGCAGAACUGAUGGUGGAGCGGUGAAAUGCGUUGAUAUCAUCAGGAAUACCGGAGGCGAAGGCGGCUCACUGGGGGUUAUCUGACGCUGAGGAACGAAAGCCAGGGGAGCAAACGGG